Molecule: ribosomal RNA, 253 nt
Filed under: uncultured bacterium
Lineage: Bacteria
Description: partial 16S ribosomal RNA
Rfam family: Bacterial small subunit ribosomal RNA
Source: RNAcentral
UACGGAGGGUGCAAGCGUUAAUCGGAAUUACUGGGCGUAAAGCGUGCGUAGGCGGUUCGUUAAGUCUGUUGUGAAAGCCCCGGGCUCAACCUGGGAAUGGCAAUGGAUACUGGCGAGCUAGAGUGUGUCAGAGGAUGGUGGAAUUCCCGGUGUAGCGGUGAAAUGCGUAGAGAUCGGGAGGAACAUCAGUGGCGAAGGCGGCCAUCUGGGGCAACACUGACGCUGAGGCACGAAAGCGUGGGGAGCAAACAGG